RNAcentral lists this long non-coding RNA (1223 nucleotides) under Equus caballus (horse). RNAcentral describes it as "lncRNA (ENSECAG00000047850.1)". Lineage: Eukaryota; Metazoa; Chordata; Mammalia; Perissodactyla; Equidae. The record is from RNAcentral.
GGUCUGCUGCUGAUUGAAGGGAAGGUUGACCUUGAGGCCUUAGAGUCCUGGAGACAUCUAAGCUGGUUUCUCUUUUCUGUCAAUGUAUAAUUCUCUCUGCUCUUCUGUUUCUGCCUCCUUUGAGAGGGAAUUUCCCACUGCUUUGCUGUAGGAAAGACAGGCAAAAUGAAGAUGGCACCUAUAUUCAGUCUCCUUUCCUUUCCUUUCCUCUCACUCCUAAUCACAAAAUAUGCCUAAGAGGUCGAGCUUGGAUAAUAAACUGAACAUUCUUUCAUCUCACUAGUGAAAAAGUGAAACUUGGUACUGAGUUGAAGAAACACUUUGGGUUGAUCAAAUACUGGAAACGACCUCUUCAGAAUAAAGAUCCAUAAUCCUAGUAAAUUCUGAAGCUACUGUGUCAUGAAAUGCAGAAGUUCACAAACAUCUGUCAACACUUGCUGAUGAGACUGCUGAAGCAGCAAGGUUAGAUUGUCCUCACCUGCAGCGACCUACCUUUGGAGAAGAGAUCCUGGAUCCAGCGUAACACAAAUGAAGAUUCUUCUGUUUCAGGCUGUGAUGACUCUUGGUAGGAAUAUCUCAGCAUCAUGUGAUUCCUACCACGUGAGAAUGGAGCAAAGCAGCCUCUUUGCCGCCCCAAGCUCAGUGCUCCGUAGACUGAAAAGAAGAUGCAGUCGACAAACAGCUGAGGAGGCUUCAUGAAUGCUGCACACAGCAACUUCAGAGUUCCUCUCUGAACAGGUGGUAAUAGAUGUUAGUAGCCCUCCCAAAAUGCCAAACAUCUUCCCUCCCCUCUGAAGUUAUUAACGAUUAAACAGGCACAAGCAAACAGAUCAGAAAUAGAGCAUUAGCUUUAUUGCACAAUCAAAUCAUUUUUGUCUCCUGGGAGGAGUAAGACCAAGAGGGACCAGAAAGGUUCAUUUCUGGGAAAUAAGGUAGAAAUCCUCAGGGAGGGAAGAGGAAAAGACAAUAUGGAAUAAGGGUCUUUUCCUGCUCUUGUGUCCCAAGCUCUGAAUUCUUCUUAGCUAUUGAACUUAAUACAAAUUGUAAAUCGGUUAUGGUUCUCCCAGUGGAGGAGAACAGCUUGGUAAUGGGAUAGUCCUACUUAUAUGACAUAACUAAUUCUAGACACUAACCACUUACUUCUUAAAUUCAGGCUAGUAAUGGUCCGAAUUGUUCCUUUACAUUGCUUUGAGGGCCUUUUAGGAACAAAGAAACCAAGCAGC